RNAcentral lists this ribosomal RNA (720 nucleotides) under Faecalicatena sp. RNAcentral's name for it is "bacterial SSU rRNA". It matches the Rfam family "Bacterial small subunit ribosomal RNA", at positions 71 to 809 of the family's 1533-position model. Lineage: Bacteria; Bacillati; Bacillota; Clostridia; Lachnospirales; Lachnospiraceae. The record is from RNAcentral.
UCGGGAUGAAGAGCAUUGUGACUGAGCGGCGGACGGGUGAAUAACGCGUGGGUAACCUGCCUCAUACAGGGGGAUAACAGUUAGAAAUGGCUGCUAAUACCGCAUAAGACCACAGCACCGCAUGGUGCAGGGGUAAAAACUCCGGUGGUAUGAGAUGGACCCGCGUCUGAUUAGCUAGUUGGUGGGGUAACGGCCUACCAAGGCGACGAUCAGUAGCCGACCUGAGAGGGUGACCGGCCACAUUGGGACUGAGACACGGCCCAAACUCCUACGGGAGGCAGCAGUGGGGAAUAUUGCACAAUGGGGGAAACCCUGAUGCAGCGACGCCGCGUGAGCGAAGAAGUAUUUCGGUAUGUAAAGCUCUAUCAGCAGGGAAGAAAAUGACGGUACCUGACUAAGAAGCCCCGGCUAACUACGUGCCAGCAGCCGCGGUAAUACGUAGGGGGCAAGCGUUAUCCGGAUUUACUGGGUGUAAAGGGAGCGUAGACGGCGAGGCAAGUCUGAUGUGAAAACCCGGGGCUCAACCCCGUGACUGCAUUGGAAACUGUUUUGCUUGAGUGCCGGAGAGGUAAGCGGAAUUCCUAGUGUAGCGGUGAAAUGCGUAGAUAUUAGGAGGAACACCAGUGGCGAAGGCGGCUUACUGGACGGCAACUGACGUUGAGGCUCGAAAGCGUGUGGAGCAAACAGGAUUAGAUACCCUGGUAGUCCACGCCGUAACGA